AAAGAUUUAGUUUAAAUAAAACAUUAACUUGUCAAGUUAAAAAUAUUAAACUAUUAAUAAUCUUUA
This 66-nucleotide transfer RNA is filed under the name Zicrona caerulea. RNAcentral describes it as "tRNA-Asp". It matches the Rfam family "tRNA". From Rfam's summary of the family: Transfer RNA (tRNA) molecules are approximately 80 nucleotides in length. Lineage: Eukaryota; Metazoa; Arthropoda; Insecta; Hemiptera; Pentatomidae. The record is from RNAcentral.